RNAcentral lists this non-coding RNA (124 nucleotides) under Alkalispirochaeta americana. The record is from RNAcentral. Lineage: Bacteria; Pseudomonadati; Spirochaetota; Spirochaetia; Spirochaetales; Spirochaetaceae.
GGGAGUUGUAUGGCCUCCCGGAAUCGGGUUGCAGGACCGGGUUCCAAACUACAUCGAGCUGCCGAGGUAAAGAGCCUCAAGGUAGUGAGCGUCGAUGGAAAGGCGUCCGUUGGAGACGUCAAGU